GUUCAAAACUCUUUCCUGAACGAGGCAGUUUCCUCAGAGAUGAAGAUAACAGAUCCUUUCGUUCAGAAACCUGAUCAUGGAGAAGAGAGUUCACGUAAGAACAGACUGUGCUAAGAGAAGAAUUUCAGGAGGCAAUGAGGUCUCCAUGAAGACAUCUAACAGAUCUCAGCUUUCAACUCAAGACCAUCAGAACAGGGUCAGAGACUGCAGGCUUGUUCAGUUGCUGAGAAACAGCCAGCUAGCUUGUUGGCUGAGUGAGAUCUGUGCAGGGAGUGUCGCACUCCAGCUGCUGACAGCCGCCUCUUCCUGCUGUUUGUCUGGCUCCUGGUGGAACUGCAAGUGAUCCUUCCCUGCCUCAUUCUCUGUGGUUGCCUCUUUGAUGGGCCACUCAGGAGGCCAGUGAACACAGCAUGGACCUGGAUUACAGCUCCUGUAAGGGCUAAAGCGGUGGAGAAGAUGCCGCACACUGAUGGACGCUCAGAGGGAACAAGGUCAUAACCCUGUGAUCGAAGAACUACGCUAAAAUUAAAAAAAUACACCAUUAAAGUUGAAGCUGGGCACUAUGUAAUCACUAUAUCACAGGAAAUUUCUUCACAGCUGGAAGUACAUCAGGCAAUACCCAUCAAAAUGGCUAUAUUUAUCAUGACUAUCAGUUAAAUGAAUUUCUUCCUUGCAUUCAAAUUUGAACUGAUAUUCUGCAUCCUGUUUGCUUCGUCAAUUCACAUUAAGGACAAAUCAUGUCCCUAACAUCUUAUUAGACAACUGAAGUGCUCUAGGAACAUGCCCUGCUUUACUUUAUCUUUAAAACACAAAGCUCCGAUUACUAAGGAUAGACUUCAUAUGCACAAAAACAGCAGCAGAGGCAGAAUUUUGAUUCGAUCGAUUAAAGAAAUUUAUUCAGGUCAUUAAACGAACCAAUCUUGUGAAAUUUCAGAUGGCACUUCAAUUUACUGAACACAGUUUUAGCCCAUUGUCUGCACUGAAAUAGAGCCUGACCCUGCAUGGCCGGAGUAGCCAUGACAACAGACCACAGAUUGUCCUUGUCCACACUUUCCAGCAUUGGAGAGUUACAGAGCUGCUUAUUUUAA
Molecule: long non-coding RNA, 1088 nt
Organism: Onychostoma macrolepis
Lineage: Eukaryota; Metazoa; Chordata; Actinopteri; Cypriniformes; Cyprinidae
Exons: 3
Source: RefSeq, a predicted model, not a curated record